AUAUGGAAAUCUACAGCCUCAGAAAGUGACACGUCGAAGAUUCCUCGGCCUCGCCGCCCGCCCUCCCCCUCCUGGGCAGCGUUCCUGCCGCGGAGAUUCCGGGAGGGGGAGCGGAUUCCUCGGACAAAAUCUGCUGGGAAGGCUGGGGGUGGGGGGAGGCCGCGAGCCACUGCCCAAUUUUUUUUAAGAGGAAUCUACCCGUUUCUUUCACUCCUCCAAACCCUGAGGCAGGGGGCACAGGCGGGGGACCCCAGCCCAGCAAGGCGGGGGCCGCCCCCUCCCGGGUCCCGUGUUCCCGGGGUGCCCAGGCGAGCACGGGGCGCCCCAGCACUCCGGCGCCAAGUUUUUGCCGGGAAGCCCAGGGCGCUCCCGGGACAGGGACGCACUUUGGCGGACUCGGCGUCAGGCCGGGGCUUUCCAGUGCACCGGGACCCGGCGAUCGCGCUCGGGGUCCCGGUCUCCUCUAGUCCCCGGCUCUUGCACGCCUUACCUUCCCUAGGGCUGAAACGCGGGGCUCUGGGCGCGCCACACACCGGGUCGCCCACGCCUUCCCAGCCGGCAGCCUGGAGGAUCCCUGCCGCCCCCUUCGCUGCUCCCGCCGCCGCCGCUCUCCUCCUCCAGCCGCCGCCGCCGCCGCUCAAAUAACUACCAGGAGGGUUUGAUGGGGGAUUCCGCCAUGUCAAUGAUGUCGGGACCACAUGGGGAUUUGGGGCCCGCCCAUUACCGUAAACCGCCGAAUAUACCGGCCGCCACAAUCGCAGACUCGCAGAAGCUGUUGUCCCCCGGCCCUGCCUAGCUAAGCAGAAACUCCUUUUGGUUCAGCCAGACUAAAGAAACCUGAGGCUUAGGGAACUAACAACUCCUGAAUGGCGAGGGCUGCGCGUUCUGCAGAUCGCCAAAGUAAUAUAAAGGCAAUGUUUACUCAGUGAUAAUUAAGCCUAAAACUGACUUUUUUUCAUUUACACAUAUAUUUCGCUUUUUGUUGUUGUUAACCCCCACAGCAACCUUGUGAGCUAUAUUACUCCCACAUUUCCCACAGCAUUUUAUUCAUACAACUAACAUAGUAUGAGCAAUUUUUAUUAUACUUAAGUUAAAAUCUCUCUUUCCUCUUUCUUUUUGUUUUUUGUUUUUUGUUGUUGUUGUUGUUUGUUUUGGGGACUGCAGGCACGGGGCAGGCAUGAGCCACCGCACCCUUUUUUUUUUUUUUUUUUUUUCCUUUUUUGGAAGAGAGGGGGUCUCAAUAGGUUGCCCAGGCUGGUCUGGAACUCUGUCGCUCAAGUGAUUCUCCCGCCUUGGCCUCCCAAAGUGUUGAGAUUACAGGCGUGAGCCAACUCACCCAGCCUUAUUUCACAAUGCGUUUCUCAGGGACAAAGACUGUUUCUUACUUUUAUCUUUAUAUCCGUAAAAUAUAGCACAGUGCAAGGACCACAAUAGGACUCAUUAAAUAACUGUUGAGUUCAUAUUAAGUCAAAUGUAAUGUAUUUCUGUUGUACAGGCUCUAAGAGGUUAACAGACUGCAUCCCAUGCCACCCCUCAGAUUAUUCAGGAGACAAGAGAGCAAAAGUUAGCCUAGAGAAGCCCCUUCCAUCCAUAGCUGUCCAGGUAUUCUGAAUAGCUACAUUCAGCCUCAACUAUUAAGCUACAAAGGAGCAUUCAGGGAGUCACUAGAGACAAUGUAUUACUUUUGUUAACCUAAAAAAUAAUAAUAGCAGUACAUAAUACUCUGUUAAAGUCUAAAGAACACUAAGAAAUAGCUCCUUCCUUCCCUUGUUCAUUUGCCAUUCUUUUGGGGAGAUUUUAGCCUUUUUUUUUUUUUUUUGGAGGCAAUGGUGAGUCCAGAGAAAUGGGGACCUCUCUCCUAAAUGGCUUAUUUACUGUGGAGCUCCUCAAAGGGGAACUUGAAGCCAUCUUUCUAUAACAUAACUCCAAUUCUAGGUCAUAGUCCUGCAUGAGAAGCCGGGGCGGGGGGUAGGCAGUAGUUCCUUAGUGCCAAUAGGGUACAAUCCAAUAGAUCCCAUUUGAGUCCAAAUGCCUUCUCUGGCUCCAGACUCUUUGGCUUCCUCAGGUGCCAUGCCUUCAGCCCAGCUGAUCACUCAUGGCUCCAGAAGGUACCUGUGUCCCUUUGUACGUGCCUUCCCUCUGAAACAUACUUCUUCUUCCCUAUUUAAGAUCAUUUACUCAUCCUUGAUCUCCGGCUAAAACCACUCCCUCCUUUCCUCCCUACAGUCUCAUACCUCUUUUCCCCACAAUCUUAUAAUCCUUGUCAGUUCUCACAUUGCUCUGAAGUUAGUCUUUUUUUUUUUUUUUUUUUUCUGAGGCUAGAGUGCAGUAGCAUGAUCGUAGCUCACUGCGUCUUCAAGCUCCUAGGCUCAAGCGAGUCUCCCACCUCAGCCUCCCAAGUAGCUGGGACUACUAGUGUGUGCCAUCACGCCUGGCUAAUUUUUUUUUAAUGUUUCUUUUUUUUUUUUCAUUUUUGUUGCCCAGGCUGGUCUCAGACUCCUGAGCUCAAGCAAUCCUCCUGCCCCAGCUCCCAAAGUGCUGGGGUUAUAGGCAUGAGCCACUGUGCCCAGCCUGAAGUUAGUUAUACUUUAUCUCUUCCACUUGACUGAGUUUUGUUCAUGUUUGUAUCCCUAGUAUCAACCUAGAAUUCUGCUUUGAAUAUAAGACCCCUUUGUGUUUGGUGAAUGAAUUAAUUGUAAAGUAUGUGGAAG
This 2711-nucleotide long non-coding RNA is filed under the name Homo sapiens (human). RNAcentral describes it as "non-protein coding lnc-PLD1-5:1". Lineage: Eukaryota; Metazoa; Chordata; Mammalia; Primates; Hominidae. The record is from RNAcentral.